UAACAAAGAGAAGCAAAGCCGCGAGGUAGAGCAAAUCUCAAAAAAACAUCUCAGUUCAGACUGCAGGCUGCAACUCGCCUGCACGAAGUCGGAAUUGCUAGUAAUCGUAGGUCAGCAUACUACGGUGAAUACGUUCCCGGGCCUUGUACACACCGCCUGUCAAACCAUGAGAGUUGGCAACACCCGAAGUCGGUAGUCUAACCGCAAGGAGGACGCCGCCGAAGGUGGGGUUGAUGAUUAGGGUUAAGUCGUAACAAGGUACC
This 263-nucleotide ribosomal RNA is filed under the name uncultured bacterium. Its description in RNAcentral is "partial 16S ribosomal RNA". It matches the Rfam family "Bacterial small subunit ribosomal RNA", at positions 1237 to 1500 of the family's 1533-position model. The record is from RNAcentral.